Mycena latifolia is the source of this 92-nucleotide non-coding RNA. The record is from the annotation of a GenBank genome assembly. Lineage: Eukaryota; Fungi; Basidiomycota; Agaricomycetes; Agaricales; Mycenaceae.
GACCCGGUGGUGAAAUGAAUCACAUCUGCAUUCCAUAGCGCAUGUUGGGAAAAUUGAAGCAAGAAGUCCCGGUUCGAAUCCGGGCUGGGUCA